GGGGAAAGAGAAGCGCGGCGCGAAGGGCCGCGGGCGACCCGGGAAGGGAGGAGGGAGGCUUGGGAGGCUGGCGGGCGGUUUUAUUGUUUCCUUUCGCCCUCCUCCUCCCGCGCCUCGGCCCCGGCGUCACUGGAAAGCCGCCCGAGCCGCCCGGCGGCUGGUUAUUUAUAGCGCGGGCUGCGCGCGCGUCACGGAGCCCGGCCCGGCUGACGGGGCCGCUGACGCGCUUGGCCGCGGGGCCGAGUCCGCGGGGCUGCGCGCCGGGCGCCGGCGACAAUGGGCUUCUGUGUGUGCAGCUGCUGUCGCCGCCGGGGGCCGGGGGAGGGGGGCGGGCGACUCCCCGGCUCCCCUCUCUGUCGGCCGCGAGCCCCCGAAAGUAUGUCGAGAGAGGGGGAUCUAUCCAGCCGGGGGCGACCACUUUGUGAGCCCCGGGGAGCGGGACCCGUACCACGCGCGUCCAGCUGGGGAUGCGGUGACCGAGGGGCCGGGAGCGCCGGGCAGGUAACGUAUCCUGGACUUAAGAGUCGGGGGCUUUGUUUGGGUCGGGAGGAGGGGAGUAGGGGUGGGUGUGAACGCCGGGCUGCCCUUCCGGGACUCCGGUCCCCCCUCCUUCGCCCCCCUCGCCUGCGCGCUGGAAGCCAACCUGGGUGUGUAGCGCGAAGAGCGAAAGAGAAACUUCUUCUGCGUGACUGACUAGAUGAGGCUCCUCCCGAGAAGCCGAGAUAAUACAGGCCCCUCUCCCGCCGCCCGCCUGCCUGCCUCUCCUCCCCCGGCCGCUCCCUCCUGUCGCCCCACCCCUCGAAGGCUGCGGACCAGCCCCCCACACUUCCCCCUACAUCUCUGGCAGGUUCGCGCCGUGGACGCCCCCGCCCUGCGGGAGGAGGGGCUGGCGCGGAUUUUAGGGACUUCCUGGGAUGCGGAGACCGGCUCUGAACCAUCCCCUUUCUGCUGCGGGGAGCUGGGGAAGCUUGCUCUGGAGCGUCUCUCACGUGGCAGGCAGGCAGAGAACUUGCUGUACCUUCUAGGAAAUUACAAUCGAUUUGUAAUGCACUUUCGCUAAUUGAGAGUUCAAAAUUAAACUUUAAUAAAGCAUUUGUGUCGUCUCGUCUAAUUGUGAAA
This 1119-nucleotide long non-coding RNA is filed under the name Theropithecus gelada (gelada). Its description in RNAcentral is "lncRNA (ENSTGEG00000020677.1)". Lineage: Eukaryota; Metazoa; Chordata; Mammalia; Primates; Cercopithecidae. The record is from RNAcentral.